RNAcentral lists this microRNA precursor (56 nucleotides) under Scyliorhinus torazame (cloudy catshark). RNAcentral's name for it is "Sto-Mir-128-P2_pre stem-loop". It matches the Rfam family "mir-128 microRNA precursor family", at positions 15 to 71 of the family's 83-position model. The record is from RNAcentral. Lineage: Eukaryota; Metazoa; Chordata; Chondrichthyes; Carcharhiniformes; Scyliorhinidae.
CGGGGCCGGAACACUGUCUGAGAGUACUAGAUUUCUCACAGUGAACCGGUCUCUUU